This 879-nucleotide ribosomal RNA is filed under the name uncultured bacterium. RNAcentral's name for it is "bacterial SSU rRNA". It matches the Rfam family "Bacterial small subunit ribosomal RNA", at positions 505 to 1398 of the family's 1533-position model. The record is from RNAcentral.
GUGGCACAGCCGCGGUAAUACGUAGGUGGCAAGCGUUAUCCGGAUUUACUGGGCGUAAAGCGUACGUAGGCGGUCCGACAAGUCUGUUGUGAAAUCUCCUGGCUUAACUGGGAGAGGUCAAUGGAAACUGCCGGACUGGAGGGGCGUAGAGGCGAGCGGAAUUCCCGGUGUAGUGGUGAAAUGCGUAGAUAUCGGGAGGAACACCAGUGGCGAAAGCGGCUCGCUAAGCGCUACCUGACGCUGAGGUACGAAAGCGUGGGGAGCGAACCGGAUUAGAUACCCGGGUAGUCCACGCUGUAAACGAUGGAUGCUAGACGUGGGGGGUAUCGACCCCCUCCGUGUCGUCGCUAACGCAUUAAGCAUCCCGCCUGGGGACUACGGCCGCAAGGCUAAAACUCAAAGGAAUUGACGGGGGCCCGCACAAGCAGCGGAGCGUGUGGUUCAAUUCGAUGCAACGCGAAGAACCUUACCCGGGUUUGACAUACUUAGGAUCGCGGCCGAAAGGUCGCUUCCCUUCGGGGCCUUUGUACAGAUGCUGCACGGCUGUCGUCAGCUCGUGCCGCGAGGUGUUGGGUUAAGUCCCGCAACGAGCGCAACCCCUGUCACUAGUUGUAUUUCUCUAGUGAGACUGCUGUGAACAACACAGAGGAAGGCGGGGAUGACGUCAAGUCAGCGUGGCUCUUACAUCCGGGGCGACACACACGCUACAAUGGCCGGUACAACGGGCAGCGACGUCGCGAGGCGAAGCGAAUCCCUUAAAACCGGUCUCAGUUCGGAUUGCAGGCUGAAACUCGCCUGCAUGAAGUCGGAGUUGCUAGUAAACGCAGGUCAGCCAUACUGCGUUGAAUACGUUCUCGGGCCUUGCACACACUGCCCGUC